AUUGAACGCUGGCGGCAUGCUUUACACAUGCAAGUCGAACGGCAGCGCGGGCUUCGGCCUGGCGGCGAGUGGCGAACGGGUGAGUAAUACAUCGGAACGUGCCCAGUAGUGGGGGAUAGCUCGGCGAAAGCCGGAUUAAUACCGCAUACGACCUGAGGGUGAAAGCGGGGGAUCUUCGGACCUCGCGCUAUUGGAGCGGCCGAUGGCAGAUUAGCUAGUUGGUGGGGUAAAGGCCUACCAAGGCGACGAUCUGUAGCUGGUCUGAGAGGACGACCAGCCACACUGGGACUGAGACACGGCCCAGACUCCUACGGGAGGCAGCAGUGGGGAAUUUUGGACAAUGGGCGAAAGCCUGAUCCAGCAAUGCCGCGUGUGUGAUGAAGGCCUUCGGGUUGUAAAGCACUUUUGGCGGGAACGAAAAGGACUGUGCCAAUACCACGGUUCGAUGA
RNAcentral lists this ribosomal RNA (449 nucleotides) under Lautropia mirabilis. RNAcentral describes it as "bacterial SSU rRNA". It matches the Rfam family "Bacterial small subunit ribosomal RNA", at positions 29 to 472 of the family's 1533-position model. The record is from RNAcentral. Lineage: Bacteria; Pseudomonadati; Pseudomonadota; Betaproteobacteria; Burkholderiales; Burkholderiaceae.